RNAcentral lists this transfer RNA (74 nucleotides) under Staphylococcus aureus. RNAcentral describes it as "tRNA-Pro". It matches the Rfam family "tRNA". From Rfam's summary of the family: Transfer RNA (tRNA) molecules are approximately 80 nucleotides in length. Their secondary structure includes four short double-helical elements and three loops (D, anti-codon, and T loops). Further hydrogen bonds mediate the characteristic L-shaped molecular structure. tRNAs have two regions of fundamental functional importance: the anti-codon, which is responsible for specific mRNA codon recognition, and the 3' end, to which the tRNAs corresponding amino acid is attached (by aminoacyl-tRNA synthetases). tRNAs cope with the degeneracy of the genetic code in two manners: having more than one tRNA (with a specific anti-codon) for a particular amino acid; and 'wobble' base-pairing, i.e. permitting non-standard base-pairing at the 3rd anti-codon position. The record is from RNAcentral. RNAcentral also lists the same sequence under 1 other name. Lineage: Bacteria; Bacillati; Bacillota; Bacilli; Caryophanales; Staphylococcaceae.
CGGGAAGUAGCUCAGCUUGGUAGAGCACUUGGUUUGGGACCAAGGGGUCGCAGGUUCGAAUCCUGUCUUCUCGA